UAGACAUUGCCAAAAAUUAAUAUCUUCAGGAAGCUUUGUUUUCCACAUUUUAUGUAAAAAGAAAAGAAAAGAAAGAAGAAAAGAAGGAAGGAAGGAAGGAAGGAAGGAAGGAAGGAAGGAAGGAAGGAAGGAAGGAAGGAAGGAAGGAAGGAAGGAAGGAAGGAAGGAAGGAAGGAAGGAAGGAAGGAAGGAAGGAAGGAAGGAAGGAAGGAAGGAAGGAAGAGGAGAAAGAAAGAGAAA
This 240-nucleotide long non-coding RNA is filed under the name Monodelphis domestica (gray short-tailed opossum). RNAcentral describes it as "lncRNA (ENSMODG00000040344.1)". Lineage: Eukaryota; Metazoa; Chordata; Mammalia; Didelphimorphia; Didelphidae. The record is from RNAcentral.